Molecule: ribosomal RNA, 467 nt
Filed under: uncultured bacterium
Lineage: Bacteria
Description: partial 16S ribosomal RNA
Rfam family: Bacterial small subunit ribosomal RNA
Source: RNAcentral
GACGAACGCUGGCGGCGUGCUUAACACAUGCAAGUCGAACGGAAAGGCCCUGCUUUUGUGGGGUGCUCGAGUGGCGAACGGGUGAGUAACACGUGAGUAACCUGCCCUUGACUUUGGGAUAACUUCAGGAAACUGGGGCUAAUACCGGAUAGGAGCUCCUGCUGCAUGGUGGGGGUUGGAAAGUUUCGGCGGUUGGGGAUGGACUCGCGGCUUAUCAGUUUGUUGGUGGGGUAGUGGCUUACCAAGGCUUUGACGGGUAGCCGGACUGAGAGGGUGACCGGCCACAUUGGGACUGGGAUACGGCCCAGACUCCUACGUGAGGCAGCAGUGGGGAAUAUUGCACAACGGGCGGAAUCCUGAUGCAGCAACGCCGCGUGCGGGAUGACGGCCUUCGGGUUGUAAACCGCUUUCGCCUGUGACGAAGCGUGAGUGACGGUAAUGGGUAAAGAAGCACCGGCUAACUACUU